Long non-coding RNA from Homo sapiens (human), 429 nucleotides. RefSeq annotates it as NUBPL divergent transcript. The record is from RefSeq and is a predicted model, not a curated record. Lineage: Eukaryota; Metazoa; Chordata; Mammalia; Primates; Hominidae. The transcript has 3 exons.
UGGGUUUGUUGGCUCAGGAACCCAAUCUGCAUGAUCUUGUUUAUAGCCAGCUACAAACAUUUUGCAGCGUUUUACUAAACGUUUGUGAAGUGUUGUCAUAUAAAACAUCUCUUAUGAUACUUACAGAAGUCCCGAGGUAGACAGAAGACUUACCUAGUAUACUCUUUUUAUGGACAAGAAAACGGAGAAAGUUUAAAGAGACUUGACCCAGCUUAACAAAAGGUCUGAUGGAAGGCUUUCUCAUUUCACAGCUGACAGCACUGGAGACAGAGCAGGAUCACAGAAGAAGAAAAUAAUGAGACCCUCAACUGGCUCUGAGAAAGCAAGCUAUCAUCUUGUGAAAUGCCCUGUGGAAAAGCCCAUGUAGCAAAGGACAGCCAAUAGCCAACAGAAAGCUGAUGCCCUCAGUCCAACAGCCUGCAAGAAACU